Molecule: long non-coding RNA, 13231 nt
Filed under: Solanum tuberosum (potato)
Lineage: Eukaryota; Viridiplantae; Streptophyta; Magnoliopsida; Solanales; Solanaceae
Description: long non-coding RNA (STUB_LNC001808)
Source: RNAcentral
CCAAUAUGGCAACCUCAAGUCUCAAAAACAUAAGCCAAUAAUAAAGUAGUGACAAAUGAAUUUAACUAACUGACUGGCUGUCUAUGAAGCCUCUAAACAACUGAGAUUGAUGUCGGGACAGGCCCACAACAUCCUAAUGAUCUAAUAAUAAAAUUGAAAGCAAUAAAAGAGAUCCUCCGAAAGCAAGGAGGCUCACCACAAGACUCUGAGUGCUCAAACUGGAUCAACGAGGCGCUAAAUGCUGAUCCUGGUUACAUACGUCUGCAUCAUAAUAAGAUGCAGGCCAACUGACAUCAAUACAUUGAAUGUACGAGUAUGCGAGUUGGAAUGCUAAACACAACUUAAGUUUGAAAGAAUCUGAAAGGAACACUUACCUUGAUUUAACUCCUGAAUAACUUAACUCAAUAUAAAACAAUAAAACAUAUGCAAUAUAUAGAAAGCUUGUAAAAACAGUGCAAACAACUCAGUUUGUUAAAGAAAAUGCAAUAAUAAACUCAAUUCUACUCAUAUAAUAAAGUAAUAUAGUUUCUGUGGGAGAUUCUCUAACCGACAAUCAUCACUAUGAGCCUAAGUAGUGAUACAACGUCUUUUCCACGCUGCCAGAACUAUCCUAUACUUUGUCGUCAUAUAGAACUACUUAACCUAGUGGAUCCACUAGCUUAUGCUAAAAGCAUCUUAAGGAGUCAUCUACAAAGAAUGAUUCUUUACUACCCAUGAUGGCUACUUGGUUUAUGGAGACUUGAGUUAAUAUGAACUCGCAUCCCCCAUAUCGGUGCUCAAUACUACUCCCAAAAAUAUACUUAGCUCAUAUGUUUUUAAAAACAAGCUUCUUUCUUUGGUUUGAGAUAAUUACUCAAAACUUAGCUUAAAAGCUCUCUUGGAAUCGAUGUUCCCUUUCUUGUUCAAAUGUGAAACCAUUUUUAAACUCUUCGGGAAUACAUAGUCCCCAUAUACUUCUUUGAAGAAAUGAACUUCAAUAUUUACUCUUUACUCUUUACUCAACUUGAACUUUAAGUCUUGAAACAAAGUUAAAAUGUUUGUAAGAGACUUUUGAAAGCUUUAAAGAAUUUCUCUUGACUUGCUUCUUAACUUUUAACUUGACUCUUAACUUUCCUUGAAUUGAAUUAUGGAUUCAAGGAUUGUGAUUUGUGAUAGGAAAGAUCUCAUGAUAUUUAGGAAUGAUUUUAGAUAGCUAAACAUGAGAAAAGAUCAAGAAAUUACUAUCUGAGGGUGGGUUCGUGACGCAGAGAAAUAUUUAAAUUUUUGGUUCGAAAACAACUUUUGAGGCAGAACGCUUCGUGACCGCUCCGUGACGCGAAACGAUUUUUCCCAAAUCUGGGGAGCAGGUCCGUGACGCGGAGGCACUGCCCAGUUUUGCCCGACGAAAUUCCUUUUUCGUUUUUCAACUCUAAACCCUCUAAACUCCAUUGGUUCUUUUCCCAAACACUUAGAAUUAUUUAUACCCUCAAACAACAUCAGAUUCUACUCGAAAACACAACUAAAAACGUGAAUCAAUCUCAAGAAAACUCCAACAACACAACCCACAAGGAUACAAACGAACUUCAUCAAGAAUUCAAGGGAUUUACUUUCAAAUCAAUAUACUUUGCUGAAAUUGAAUCAAGUUGGGCGCGUGGGUAGAAAAUCUUACUUCUCUAUGUAUGCUAUGGGAGAUGGUUUGUGUUAGAAAGCAUAUGCUCUAAGGCAUCCAAAUUAUUAGCAUGAAAUAGUUAGAAUGUGAAUUGCUGUUUAACUGAUUUGACUUAACUGGUUUGUAAAUAAAGUAUAUGGAGGUAUAAGCAUAUGAAGGAAUAGACUACUACCAAUGAGGUACAAAAAUAAGAUGUUACAGAAAUACUCUCAUAUGUUGUAGAACUAAGAUAGUGGAUAGGCAUAAGGACCUGAAUAAGUAACUUCAUCUGGAUUUUACUGUCAAUUCAAACAAGCUUCAUUCAUCCAUCACUCUCAUUUUUCCAUGUUUAAGUUACAUGCAUCUGAAAUCUUCUUCCUUGCAGAUAUACUAAUAAAAAAUGAAGCUACAAGAAUCUAGUACUUUACCACUUUUAACUUUGUUCUCACUUAAGCUUUGUUGAUACUGUCUGUCAUUGCAUAGUCUACGAAUAUACAGAUAUUGUCUUGGCCUACUCUUCAUUUUGGGAAUUGGAUCACUGUAAAAUUUCUCUUUUAUGUGUUUAAGAAUGAGAGAGCAGCAGAGGAGCAAAAGAGGUAUGAUGAAAGUGUCUUGUCUUUGGCAGAAGAACAGAAGGUUGUAAGCUCAUUCUGUGUGUUUACUCAAUUUCUGUAGUUAUGUAGUUAGUCUCUGACAUCUUGAGAAUUUUACAUGCAGAAGGCGAAAGAAACUCUCCGUCAGAAGAACAUGGAGUUUCAAAAGAAACUCGACUUAAAGCAAGCGCUAGAGUUGGAGAUUGAACGUCUCACAGGGGCCAAGAAUGUAACUGAACAAAUGUGAGAUGACCAAGAGGUGAAGAAAAAAUUCGACGAGAUCGAAGAGAGCCUAAAUGAGAAAAAAGAAGAACUAGAAGAUCUUGAAGCUUUGAAUCAAGCUCUAGUUGUUAAAGAGCAGCGGGCAAAUGUUGAGUUAACAGAUGCCAGGAAGGAGCUGAUCGAUGUAAGUACAACUCUUUCAAGUUCUGCAAUACCCUUAUCUAUUUUGUGAAUAACACUCAAGUUUCCAUUUUUCCUCCAAUGGAGUAAGAACAUCAGAAUGAUUAGGAGCAGGCUAUAGCACGUUCAAUUCGUUACAUGUUCAGUUUUCGUUCUCAACCUAUUACAAAUUUCAUGCACCAUCAACUGAGCUUCUAUUAUAGUCUAUGUUGUUGAACAUUCAAGUAUUCUUACAAGGUGAAAAUUUUGACAAAUGAAACAUGUUUCAUGGCAUUUCGUUAAUAAAGAAGCACUCUUUUCGAGCUUCCAUUGGUGUCAAGAGAAUGGGAGAACUUGAUAGUACAAGAUUUCGUGAGAUAACCAAGAGCAAAUUUCCUGGAACAGAUGCAGAUUUAAAAGCUACUCAGUUGUGCUCAAUCUGGGCACCUUGUGGAUCCCGAUUGGCAUCCUUUCAAAUAUGUAACAAGAGAAAAUGGUUCCAAGGUAAUAAUGCAAUAUAAUAGACUUAUACUAGUUGUUUUCCAUAUCUUUAUCCCCUUGAAUCAAAAUACUUAGAACUUAAUUAUUCCUUGUGUCUUGGUAGGAAAUCAUCAUUGAUGAUAACGACGAAAGGCUGAACAGGUUGAAACAUGAGUUUGGACAAGCCGCUUAUGAUUUGGUAACUGCUACUUUGAUGGAAAUUAAUGAAGGUCCCAGUGGUAGAUGCAUAACAACAGAGUUGUGGAACUAUAAGCUAGGAAGGAAAGCUACCCUCAAUGAAGGAAUAACUUUUGCUCUCCAGAAGUUAAAGAUCAGUAAAGGGAAGAAGCAGCAUUAACUUUCAUGGUUACAGUUUACGUACCAUCUUUCGAAUGGCAUGUUAUACCUUUUCUCUAUGGUGAUAUCUAUUUUAGACAAAAGAAAUUGAACCAUUUGAAGUAGGUUCCUUCAAAAGAAAAGGAAUCCAAAGCACUUGCUUUAGAGAAUCCAAGAUUGUCUAUGGAUUAGCAAAAGCAAAUGUGCACUUGAGUAGUAGUAGCAUCAAAGUUAUCCAAACUUUCAAACAUUGAAUAGCAUCUAGAAUCUGUUUUUCCAUUUUGAAUUGACAUAUUAUCUCAUUACUUUAGUAUCUGUUUUAGUCCUAAGUAUCUUGAUGAUACAUUGAAGUGAUGAAUGCCUAUAUACAUUGGUUUAGUUUAAACACUAGGUGCGACUAAAUUUUUUUCCAUUUUGAAUGACAUUAUCUCAUUACUUUAGUAUCUGUUUUGGUCCUUCCAAUCUCAAUGAUACAUCGAGGUGAUGAAUGUUGUAUUUGUUGGUUUAGUUUAAACACCAGGUGCGUCUAAGUUUUUUCCAUCGACAUGUGCUUGUCAGGCAAAGUUCAAGCAUUAAAGCUAGACUAGAAAUGAUAUCCAAAGUUCUGCACUUGAGUAAUAUCAAAGUGUAACAUACCAAAAGAAUGUAGAUUUUUUCGAUUAAAGUAAAUUACUGAAAAUACAGUAAGUACACUGCUCAAGCAUCAAGUACUACAAAACAUUAUACUGAUACAAAAAAAAAGGCUAAAAAUGUUAAAAGAGAAAACCCGAAUUCAUUAGGGUCUAAACAAAUAAAAACUCAAAGUACACGAACCAUGUUACAACAAAAAGGAAGAAGAACUUCAGGUCUACAAGGUGUAAACAGUAGGAAAUAGCAGCUGUAAAUUGCUACAGAAAAUUUGAAAGUGAAGAAGGCUGAAGUUUUCUUGAGUACAACUUUUUUUUCACUCGAAGUUUCAUUACAUAUGGUGUAUUUAUAGAUAAAGUGUGAGAAUUACAACCACAUAAUAAGCAAAAUAUCUCAUACCAAACUAUGUACAAAAAUGUGGCUCACUAACCACCACUCAUUUUUAAUCAAGACUAACAUAUCUAUUACAAAAUAUCUCCAACCUAGGAGUUUCUAGACAAAUCUUACUUUUCUAACAUAUCUAAUACAAAAUAUCUCAAAUCUAGGAGUUUCUAGACAAAUCUUAAUUUUCUAACACUCCUCCUUAAGAUUUUUCAUUGAAACUCCUUGCAACAACCUUUGAAACUCAAACUUCUUAGUGGAAAGAGCCUUGGUCAGAAUAUCGGCCUGCUGAUCUUCACUGAUGCAAUGCACCAACUUAACUUCACCAUUCUUCUCGGCAUCUCUUAAAGCAUGAAACCUUAUGUUGAUGUGCUUUGUUCUUCCAUGCUGCCCUGGAUUUUGAGCCAUCACAAUGGCUGAUUUAUUGUCCACAUAGAUCACUGUUGGUUCUUUUGGCAACAAAUUCAAUUCCAACAAGAUCUUUCUUAACCAAAUUGCUUGAUUUGUAGCAGAUGCAGCAGCCACAUACUUGGCUUCUGUUGAAGAUUGUGCGACAAUAUCUUGCUUCUUUGUGCUCAAAGAAAAAAUGCCUGAACCAAACGAAAAACAGUAACCAGAAGUGCUUUUGUAAUCAUCCAAACAUCCACCCCAAUCACUAUCUGAAUAGCCAAUAAGAGCUCCAUUCUCCACAUUUCUAUACCAGAUUCCAUAAUUAAUCGUCCCUCUAAUGUACCUUAACACCCUUUUAGCGGCUCCAAAAAUGCUUAGUGCUGGGACUUUGCAUAUAUCGAGAUAACAAACUGACAACGAACAUUAUGUCUGGCCUAGAAGCUAUUAGAUACAAUAGACUUCCAAUUAGACUUCUAUAAACUUUUUGGAUCUGCCCUCUCUUCGUCAUCAUCCUUCAUUAAUUUUUCAUUCACAACAAGUGGAGUUGCAACAACUUUGCACUUGUCAAGCUUGAACCUUUUAACAGAUUCAAGGCAUACCUCUUUUGGGAACAAGAAAAUUCCUUCACAAGAUUGAGAUAUCUCCAUUCCCAGGAAAAACUUCAUUUCUCCUAGAUCAGACAUCUCAAAAACAUUUAGCAUUUCAUUUUUAACUUCUUGAACCGCAAGAGGAUUUUCACUUGUAAUCAUCAAAUCAUCGACAUAAACUGAUAUCAUAAUCAACAUCCCAUCCGCUUGCCUUUUGGAGUACAAAUUAGGCUUAUUUAGGCUUCUGUUGAAGCCUUGAGACAGCAAAUGAGAAUCCAACCUACUAUACCAAGCUCUUGGGGAUUGUUUAAGACCAUAGAGAUCCCUUUUAAGCUUGUACACCUUGUCUUCUUCACCUGCAACUGUAAAACCUUCAGGUUGUUCAACAUAAAUGUCUUCCUCAAGCAAUCCGUUGAGAAAUGCAGAUUUUACAUCCAAAUGGAAGAUUUUCCACUAGUAUUGUGCUGCGAGAGCGACUAGAAAUCUUACUGUCUCAUGCUGCGCAACAGGAGAAAACGUUUCUCCAAAGUUCACUCCAGGAUGCUGAGAAUAACCUUAAACUACAAGUCUAGCUUUAUUCUUGAAGAUGGAGCCAUCUGGAUUGAACUUUUUUUGAUAGACCCAUUUGACACCGAUAACAUUCUUCUCUACUGGCCUAUCAACCAACUCCCAAGUAUCAUUUUUAUUAAUCAUGGCAAGUUCCUCCUCCAUUGCUGAAAUCCACACUUUGUGGUUUGCUGCUUCUUCAAAUGAGGAUGGUUCAACAAGAGUAAAAUUGCAUUGCUCAUAAACUUCUGCUAGUGAUUUGGUCUUCAAAACAUGAGAGUCUGUAGUCAAUUGAACAUCUAUUGAACAUCUGAAUUGUUUUUUGUUCCAUCAAUAGGACUAGAGAGAGUAUCACCUUUUUGCUGAUUAGGAGUUGCAGCUGAAGUACUCCCACCUUGGUUCUUCACAACAAUAUCUCGAUCCUAAUCAUAGUGGAUAGACUCAUCCACUGCAAGAUCUCUACUAACAAACACCUUCUUACUACUAACAUUGUACACUUUGUAUCCUUUUGCAACUGUACUAUAGCCCAAUAGAACACACAGUUCUGCCUUGCUAUCUAAUUUACCUUUUUUAGCAUCAGGAACAUGUGCAUAGCAUACCGAACGAAAUACAUUCAAGUGUCUCGUAGACUACUUGAUACCCUUCCAUGCUUCAAAUGGUGUCAUGUCUUGGACUGCUCUAGUUGGUAAUCUAUUUAGCAAAUAGACAGCGGUAUUGACUGCUUCAGCCCAAAAGUAUUUAGGCAUCUUCUUUUCUGCCAACAUGCAUCUCGCCAUCUCCAUCACAGUUCUGUUCUUCCUCUCAGAAACCCCGUUCUGCUGUGGAGUGUAGCUAACAAUGAAUUGUUAUUGGAUACCCAAAUCUUUACAAUACUUGCUGAACUGAUACAAAGUAUAUUCAGUUCCAUUAUCGGAAUAUACUUCCAUUUACAGCCACUCAUCCUUUCUACCAUAACUUUGAAUUAUUUGAAAACAGAAAACACUUGAUAUUUGCUACUAAGAAAGUAGACCCAUGUCAUUCGAGUCAGAUCAUCUACAAAGAGAACAAAAUACUUGUUUCCACUCAAAGAAACCGUCCUCAUUGGUCCACAUAAAUCUGUAUGAACCAACUCUAGCUUUUCCUUAGCUCUCCAAAGACUUCCUUUAGGAAAGGAUCGUCUAUGCAUUUUACCAAAUUGACAUGACUCACAAACAUCUCUACACAUGUCAAUUUUGGGUACUUCAAGCACCAUACCCUUUGAUUGCAUAUACAUCAGUGAGCAAAGAUUAUAAUGACUGAACCUUUUGUGCCAAAGCCAAGUAUCGCUCAAUUCAACACUAAUAGAGCUAGUAUCAAUAAAAUAGCAUGAAAUUAGAAAGGAAUUGUCAAUCAUGCUAAUUUUAGCUACUUCACAUCCUUUAGGAUCAUAAAUGUCACAUUGUUUGUCCUUAAAAUUAAGAGAAUAAUUUUUAUGAAGCAAUUGAGAAACACUUAACAAGUUUUGAGUCAAAUUUGGCACAUAAAGAACAUCAUUAAUAAUUUUCGUACCUUCGUCAGUAGGAAAUUUUACUGACCCUCUACCGUGAGCUUCCACCAAUGCGCCAUUUCCAAGUUUCACUUUGGUUCUAUCAGAUCUGUCCAAGGUAACAAACAUAUUUUCAUCAAUCGCCAUGUGCCUUGUGCACGCGCUAUCAACAUACCAUUUACAUUGGUCAUUAUGUGAUGUGUGCGAGGCCAUGAAAACCUCCUCCUCUGAUUUUCCAACUUGGUGAUGAUCUGUGAAAUUCACUCGAUGGGAAGACUGGCCACUUUGAUUUUGCUUUUGCCUACAAUACUUCUCAAUGUGACCAUACUUCUUACAAUAUCUACAUUGAAUUGGAGACCUCUUUGAAUUCUGCCAACAAUUCUUCUCUAAGUGGUUUGUCUUCUUACAAAUGCCACAUGGUGGAAAUUUUCCUUUUAUCGACAAAUCACCUUGGUUUCCACCAGAUUUAUCCAACCAGACUUUUCUACUUUCCUUUUGAUGUUUGCAUUUAUGCCUCGCUUGAAAGGCAUCUUUUACUAUCCCUUCACUUCUCAUAGUGACCCGUUGCUCUUGGACUUGCAAUUUGGAGAUUAGUUCGGCUAUUGUAAGAGUAGUCAAGUCACAAGACUCUUCAAUAGCUGAGAUUUUUGAUUCAAACUUGUCUAGAAGGCUAACCAAGAUCUUCUCUACAAUUUUCUGAUCUGGAAAGGUUUCACCAAGUAUUCUUAUCUGGUUCACAAUCUCCAUCAGCUUUGAAGAGUAUUCUUUCACACUAACUGAGUCUUCAAUCUUCAAAAGCUCAAACUCUCUCUUCAAUGCUAAGAGUCUAACAGACUUUACUCUAUUGCAGCCUUCAAACUCCUCCUUUAACUUAUCCCAAGCCUCUUUGGCUGUUUCACAAGUCAUAUUCCUCGUAAACAUCACGUCCGUAAGACUUGAAUGUAUGCAGGUGAGAGCUCGUGGGGAUCUAGUCACCAACUCAUCGUACUUCUUAAUUUCAUUGAGAGUUGCAUUAACUCUCAAUGGCUGGACAACAGGUUCUCCAAGCUCAACAACUUCCAGAAGUUGAGAGCCUUUAGAUAAGCCUUCAUUUUGAUGGCCCAUAUGUGAUAAUUCUCUCCGGUAAAAGUUGGAGGACCUGUCGUUGGUUGAUUUUCAGGUGCCAUGAAUUUUUUUCAGCAAGCAAAUUCAAGAAAGAACAUAAUGUAGAUGAGCGAAACAAACAAAAUUUGAUUCAGAUCCCUUAGGAAAUAGGCUCUGAUACCAUGUUACAAAGAAAGGGAAGAAGAACUUUUGGUCUACAAGGUGUAAGCAAUAGGAAAUCGCAGCUGUAAAUUGCUAGAAAAAAUCUGAAAGUGAAGAAGAAGGCUUAAGUUAUCUUGAGAUCAAUUUUUUUCACUAGAUGUUUCAUUACAUAUGGUGUCGAUGUUUUAUUACAUAUGGUGUAUUUAUAGAUAAAGUGUGAGAAUUACAACCACAUAAUAAGCAAAAUAUCUCAGACCAAACUAUGUACCUAUGUGGCUCAAUAACCACCACUCAUUUUUAAUCAAGACUAACAUAUCUAUUACAAAAUAUCUCCAACCUAGGAGUUUCUAGACAAUUCUUACUUUUCUAACAUAUCUAAUACAAAAUAUCUCCAACUUAGGAGUUUCUAGACAAAUCUUACUUUUCUAAUAUAUCUAAUACAAAAUAUCUCCAAUCUAGGAGUUUCUAGACAAAUCUUAAUUUUCUAGGGGGAAUAUUUUGAUGGUAAACUCCUUACCAAGUAUCAACCAUGCCUACUCUUUGAUUUUGCAAGAUGAGAAUCAGAGAGAUACUUAUCUCAGUCCUCAUCUUUCAUCUGAUUCCUCUUUUUCUUUCAUGGUGGGUAAUACCAAUCAAUACAAACAUGGAAAGCAGGCACAAAGGUAUCCAGCACCUUCACAAAGAUCUGGGAUCUCACAAUCAAGAAAAUCACUUUCCAAGAGCCACAAAGGUUCCAGAAACAACAAAAUCAAUUUCAGAAAUUCAAAGGAAAAAGGGCCAAGUAUGAUCCUAAUGUUACCUGUACAUAUUGUGGAAAAACAGGCCAUGUAGUGGAUAGUUGUUUUAGAAAAAUAGGUUUUCCAGAAAACUUUGUGUUCACAAAUGAUAAAGGAAUGCAGGGACAGAUUAGGGGAAAUUGAGCAUUGAUUACUGAAGACAAUGAAGGAAGAAACAAUGAUCAAACAUAUGUCACAAAUGUUGCUCACAAUUACAACAAAGAACAAUACAAUUAAUUUCUUCAUAUGUUUAGACAAAUGAAAAUGGAGGAGGCAUCACAGAAAAACACAGGCUCUGAGAUCAACAGUAAUGUUGUGGCUGGUACAAUUUCAAAGUAUCUUGGAUCCUGUUUUUCUGCUAUUCAUUCUAGCACCUGGAUCAUCGAUUCAGGUGCAUCUGAACAUGUGUUAUAAUCCCCAAUGUUUUACCUCCAUGCCCCCUCUUCAAUUCCCCUUGACCAUUAAUCUUCCUAAUUGUCAAACCAUUCAAGUCACUCAUUCAGGAACUGUGCCUAUAUUUUCUAAUAUCAUUUUACAAAACGUUUUGUAUGUUCCCAGUUUCAAGUUCAAUCUCAUGUCUGUUUAUAAAUUCUGUGUUCAAUUUCCUUACACACUAUUUUUUACAUCACAUGAAUGAGUGUUUCAGGACUCUUCAAUGAGGAGGGGUCAAGUUUUUGGUGAAGCCAAGGAGGGUCUCUACUUGCUACAACCCAGUCCUCAGAAGUGUAGUUCUUUUUUUAGCAAUAGUGUUUCAGUUUCACCACAUACUAUAUUUAGUGGAUCUAGUCCUUUAUCUUUACCCCAGUUCUUAUUGAAUCAGUUUCAGUUUCUCAUUCUGUAUAUACAAGUGCAACUUCUAAUGUAAAAUUGUGGCACAUUAGAUUGGGGCAUUUGCCUUACUCUUCAAUGAAAAAUGUUAGUUUCCUUUCUUUUCCGAGUAAUUAUGACUGUGUUUGUGAUGUGUGUCCUAAAGCUAGGCAAUCCAGGCUACCCUUUCCCAUUAGUCAAAUUUCUAGCAAAUCUGUUUUUGAUCUUAUCCAUGUUGAUACUUGGGGACCUUAUAAAGUAGCUACUCAUAAUCAUUAUAGGUAUUUUUUUGACUAUUGUUGAUGAUUUUAGUAGAGCUACUUGGACUUGUUGGCUACAAAGAGCAAUGCAUUCACAGUCUUGCAAAGUUAUUUACAAAUGGUGGAAAGACAGUUCAAUGCGAAGGUUAAAGUCAUUAGAUUGGAUAAUGCCUUAGAACUAGGAAAGAGUGAAGCGGGUUCUCAAUUCUUUAGUUCUCAUGGGAUUAUGCAUCAGACCUCUUGUGUGGCCACUCCACAACAAAAUGGGAUAGUGGAGAGAAAAUACAGACACUUACUAGAGCUUGCAAGGGCUUUAAUAUUUCAAUCUCAUGUUUCUAUCGUUUACUGGGGAGAGUCCAUCCUUACAACCACUUAUUUGAUUAACAGGUUACCUUCUAAGGUGCUCAAAGGAAAAACACCUUAUGACAUCAUAUUCGGGAAGUGACCAUCUUAUCAUACUUUGAAGUGUUUUGGAUGUUUAUGCUAUGCUAACACUUUAACUCAUGGCAGGGAUAAGUUUCAACCUAGAGCUAUGAAGUGUGUUUUCCUAGGUUAUCCUAGUGAUAAAAAAAAGGUACAAGUUACUGAAUCUUGAAAAUAAAAGGAUAUUUGUAUCCAGAGAUGUUCAUUUCUUUGAGCAUAUUUUUCCCUUUGUGGAUAAAUCUGAUGACAUUCCUUCUUCUAUAUUUCCAGAUUAUGCAAUUUAUCUACUGAUCAGCCUGAUUCUCAAACUGAUCUCAUUCCUCAUACCAUUCCAUCUACUAGUUCCUCUUCUUCACCAGAUCAUCCAUUCACUUCAUCAUCACCUGAUUCAACUCAUACUCAGAUUUCCCCUUGGUUCAACUCACUCUCAUAUUUCAUACCUUGAUUCUUCCAUUAAUAAUCCCAGAAGAUCUCACAGAAUAAAGAAACUUUACCGUCACAUCUUCAAGAUUAUUAUUGCAACACCAUUUUUUCAGUGAUGUGACAAACUCCUAUUUUGACACUCCUACUAAACCUAGUGUUAUUUCUUUUCAUGCUCUUUCUCUUUCUAAUAAAUCCAUCGUACAAUCAGUUUCUACAAUCACUGAGCCCACCAGUUAUAAAGAAGCUUUUACUCAUCCAGGUUGGAGGAAGGCUAUGGAUGAUGAAAUGGAGGCUUUACAAGCAAAUCAUACAUGGGUCUUAGUUGCUUUACUUCCGGGUAGACAAGCUUUACCUUGCAAGUGGGUUUACAAGGUGAAGCAACAUGCUGAUUGGAUACUUGAGAGGCUGAAAGCAAGGUUGGUGAUCAGGGGUGAUAUAAAGAAAGAGGGGAUAGAUUUCAAUAAGACUUUUUCCCCGGUGGUCAAAAUGACCACUAUCAGAUGUUUGCUAGCCAAUGCAGCCAAGAAGAAUUGGGAAAUUUCUCAAUUUGAUGUAAACAAUGCCUUCUUGCAAGAAGAUUUGCAAGAAGAAGUUUACAUGAAGUUCCCAAUUUGUGUUGAUCCUCCUAAAGCUAGUUUGGUUUGUAAGUUACAAAAGAUUUUAUAUGGUCUCAAGCAAGCCUCUAGGCAAUGGUAUGCCAGACUUGCAGGGGCCCUCAAUUUCAAAGGUUUUAUUGCCUCUUUGAUUGAUUAUUCUCUUUUCUUUAAGAAAGUAGGGGAUACUAUUGCUACUGUGGUUGUUUAUGUGAUGAUAUAUUGAUAACUGGAGAUGCUUACACUGUGAUAGAGGAUCUAAAAGUCUUUCUUAAUUCAGAAUUUAAGAUCAAGAGUCUUGGGUCCCUGCAUUACUUUCUUGGUAAGGGACAAUCAUGGUUUGAUAGUCAGUCAAAAGAAAUAUACCUCUGAUUUGUUGUGCGAAUUUGAUGUCUCACAUCUUCCUCCAAUUGCCUCUCCAUUGGAUCCUGCAGUGAAAUUUGUCACAGAAUUAGUAGAGUAUAUGGAAGAACAACCUUAUAUCAGCACAUCAUUGGUAAGUUAAAUUACUUAACUCAUACACGACCGAAUAUAUGUCAUGCAGUUUUGAUUCUCGGUCAAUUUAUGCAAAAACCAAGUCUUGAUCACUAUCAUGGAGCUUUGAGGGUUGUAAGUUACCUGAAACAGUAUCCGCAUCAGGGUCUAUUCUUUUCUUCUUCUCCAUCCUUUUCCCUUAAUGCUUUUUGUGAUGCGGAUUGGGCUUCGUGUAGAGACUCACUGAGAUCUAUCAGUGGUUUAUUCAUUAGUUUAGGGGGUUCCCCCAUUUCUUGGAAGUCCAAUAAACAUAUCUCUAUAUCCCUCUCUUCCACAGAGGCAGAGUAUCGAUCUAUGCGUCGAUUGGUAGUUGAAUUAACCUGACUUACUCUAUUACUAGAUGAUCUCUCUGUUCUGCCUCAACUUCUUGUACCUGUGCGGACGAAGCACGUUGAGUUGGAUUGUCAUUUUGUCCGUCAACAGUACUUGUUAGGGCUCAUUUCCCUAUCUUUUGUUCCUUCCAAAGAGCAACUCGCUGACAUAUUCACUAAGCCUCUUUAUGGCCCGCAACAUCAUGGAGUUCUAUGCAAGUAAGGGUCUCACUCCGCUCCCCUCCACCUUGAGGGGGAUGUUGGAAUUCAACCUUCUUCUACACCAUCUUCUCAACCAUUUAUAGCAUGUUCUAAUUUCACCAGAGAGAAGAUGAAGAUGUCUGAUGAUGUCUUGUUUGAGAAAAGCAAAUGGGCCAAGAGUGAUAUUGGGUCGCAGAAGAAGGCAC